ACUCCUACGGGAGGCAGCAGUGGGGAAUAUUGCACAAUGGGCGCAAGCCUGAUGCAGCCAUGCCGCGUGUCAGAUGAAGGUCCUCUGGAUUGUAAAUGACUUUUCUACGGGAAGAAUGAGCCGUCUGCGGACGGAAGUUGACGGUACCGUAGGAAUAAGCACCGGCUAACUACGUGCCAGCAGCCGCGGUAAUACGUAGGGUGCAAGCGUUGUCCGGAUUUACUGGGUUUAAAGGGGUACGUAGGCGGUUGUGCCAAGUCUGGGGUGAAAGUUUGCAGCUCAACUGUAAAAUUGCCUUGGAUACUGGUCGGCUAGAGUAGUGGAGCGGUGGCUGGAAUUUAUAGUGUAGCGGUGAAAUGCUUAGAUACUAUGAGGAACACCAAUUGCGAAGGCAGGUCACUGGUCACUAACUGACGCUGAGGUACGAAAGUGUGGGGAUCAAACAGGAUUAGAUACCCUGGUAGGAUAGCG
RNAcentral lists this ribosomal RNA (471 nucleotides) under uncultured bacterium. RNAcentral's name for it is "bacterial SSU rRNA". It matches the Rfam family "Bacterial small subunit ribosomal RNA", at positions 335 to 799 of the family's 1533-position model. The record is from RNAcentral.